Molecule: ribosomal RNA, 253 nt
Filed under: uncultured bacterium
Lineage: Bacteria
Description: partial 16S ribosomal RNA
Rfam family: Bacterial small subunit ribosomal RNA
Source: RNAcentral
GACAGAGGGGGCAAGCGUUGCUCGGAAUCACUGGGCGUAAAGGGCGCGUAGGCGGGUCCGCAAGUCGAUCGUGAAAUCCUUCGGCUCAACUGAAGGGGGUCGGUCGAUACUGCGGGUCUUGAGGGAUGCAGAGGAGACUGGAAUUCCCGGUGUAGCGGUGAAAUGUGUAGAGAUCGCUUGGAACGCCGAAGGUGAAAACAGGUCGCUGGGGAUGUGCCGACGCUGAGACACGAAAGCCAGGGGAGCAAACGGG